Molecule: ribosomal RNA, 496 nt
Filed under: uncultured bacterium
Lineage: Bacteria
Description: partial 16S ribosomal RNA
Rfam family: Bacterial small subunit ribosomal RNA
Source: RNAcentral
GACGAACGCUGGCGGCGUGCCUAAUACAUGCAAGUUGAGCGCUGAAGGUUGGUACUUGUUCCUACUGGAUUAGCAGCGAACGGGUGAGUAACGCGUGGGGAAUCUGCCUUUGAGCGGGGGACAACAUUUGGAAACGAAUGCUAAUACCGCAUAAUAACUUUAAACACAAGUUUUAAGAUUGAAAGAUGCACUUGCUUCACUCAAUGAUGAUCCCGCGUUUUAUUAGCUAGUUGGUAAGGUAAAGGCCCACCAAGGCAAUGAUACAUAGCCGACCUGAGAGGGGGACCGCCAACAUGGGAAUGGGGAAACGCCCAAAACUCUUAGGGGAGCCGCAGUAGGGGAACUUCGGGCAUGGAGGGAAGUCUGAACGGGGAAAGCCGCGGGGGUGAAGGAGGUUUUCGGGACGUUAAACUCUGUUGGUAGAGAAAAACGAUGGUGGGAGUGGAAAGCGCAUAAAGUGACGGUAACUACCCAGAAAGCGACGGCUAACUACGUG